RNAcentral lists this long non-coding RNA (476 nucleotides) under Zea mays. RNAcentral's name for it is "long non-coding RNA (ZMAY_LNC003650)". The record is from RNAcentral. Lineage: Eukaryota; Viridiplantae; Streptophyta; Magnoliopsida; Poales; Poaceae.
AAAUGUUUACCUUCACUAUUAUGAGAUACAUUCACUAUUAUGACUGCAUCGAUGGAUCUAUCAAGUCAUACAUACAACCAGUACGUACAAAUUUAUCAUGUCGUUUUAUAUUUUGCCAUAAGGCAGCAUAUGGUACUAAUGUGUAGCUAACACAUUUUUCUUGGCUUGCAGGACAAAACCAGGGAUUUACGGUCUCUUGCAUUAACUGUACUACAUCACAUUCCAUCGCAAGAACAAAGUCAUCCCGCUCCUUGCAAACAUCCAAAGAUAUGUACUACAAGUUCUCACGAAUGUAGUCUAGUUUAGAUAUGUUAGAUAUUAUGUCUACAAUAUUUCAUAAACUUCAUCUGGAGUUAUGUGCGUAUAUUAUGGUAAUGACAGUAGAAUAAUCAUGCAUCGUUGUUGAUGUUUCUUAUGUUAUGUUAACAACAACCUGGGAACCGUAAUGGAUAAACUGCAAUGUGUUUUCUAUGUUU